RNAcentral lists this long non-coding RNA (402 nucleotides) under Ananas comosus (pineapple). RNAcentral's name for it is "long non-coding RNA (ACOM_LNC012986)". The record is from RNAcentral. Lineage: Eukaryota; Viridiplantae; Streptophyta; Magnoliopsida; Poales; Bromeliaceae.
AAUUUCAUAAUUAUUUUAAAUUUUAAAUUUUUAAAAUUUAAAUUAUUUUUAAAAUUAAAAUAUCAAAUUUUAAAUUUUGUACAAUUUUGAAAUUUAAAAGUUUUAAUUUUAAUUCAAAUUUAAAUUUAGAUUUUAAAUUAUUUUAAAAUAAUAUUUAAGAAAAAUAUUAAUUUAUGCCAACAUUAAAAAAAAUUUGUCAAACAGUUUUUCAAAAUCACUUCAGAAAAAUUAUUUUUAUUUAAAUUACGCCAAACUGUCACGGGUCGAUCGUUGGGACUCGACCGUGACACCUUUGGGGGCCAUAUUUGGUAGGCACUUCGGUUGACGAAGUUAUGGAGUUGCGGAAUUGAGGCGUUCCGUCAGGUAUGAGUCGCUGUCAAGUCAACGGAGGCAAUUCCCUAG